AAGACGAACCGAGCGAACGUUGUUCGGAAUCACUGGGCUUAAAGGGCGCGUAGGCGGGCUGCCGCGUCCGGGGUGAAAUCCCACGGCUCAACCGUGGAACUGCCCCGGAUACGGGCGGCCUCGAGGGGGGUAGGGGCAUCUGGAACUGUGAGUGGAGCGGUGAAAUGCGUUGAUAUUCACAGGAACUCCGGUGGCGAAGGCGAGGUGCUGGACCCCACCUGACGCUGAGGCGCGAAAGCCAGGGGAGCAAACGG
This 254-nucleotide ribosomal RNA is filed under the name uncultured prokaryote. RNAcentral's name for it is "partial 16S ribosomal RNA". It matches the Rfam family "Bacterial small subunit ribosomal RNA", at positions 522 to 775 of the family's 1533-position model. The record is from RNAcentral.